This 282-nucleotide ribosomal RNA is filed under the name Paenibacillus sp. cl123. RNAcentral describes it as "23S rRNA. Bacterial LSU". It matches the Rfam family "Bacterial large subunit ribosomal RNA", at positions 2635 to 2925 of the family's 2925-position model. Lineage: Bacteria; Bacillati; Bacillota; Bacilli; Caryophanales; Paenibacillaceae. The record is from RNAcentral.
UCCCUAUCUGUCGCGGGCGCAGGAAAUUUGAGAGGAGCUGUCCUUAGUACGAGAGGACCGGGAUGGACGUACCGCUGGUGUACCAGUUGUCUCGCCAGAGGCACGGCUGGAUAGCCAAGUACGGCAGGGAUAAGCGCUGAAAGCAUCUAAGCGUGAAGCCCCCCUCAAGAUGAGAUUUCCCAGUAAGUAAGACCCCUUGUAGACGACGAGGUAGAUAGGUUCGGGGUGGAAGCGCGGCAACGUGUGGAGCUGACGAAUACUAAUCGGUCGAGGGCUUAUCCU